RNAcentral lists this ribosomal RNA (381 nucleotides) under uncultured marine Chaetocerotaceae. RNAcentral's name for it is "SSU rRNA". It matches the Rfam family "Eukaryotic small subunit ribosomal RNA", at positions 587 to 972 of the family's 1831-position model. Lineage: Eukaryota; Bacillariophyta; Thalassiosirophyceae; Chaetocerotales; Chaetocerotaceae. The record is from RNAcentral.
AGCUCCAAUAGCGUAUAUUAAAGUUGCUGCAGUUAAAAAGCUCGUAGUUGCAUUUCCGAGGCAAGGGAUUAGUCCGACCUUUGGUGGGUAUUUAAUCCUCUUGCCUCGUCCUUGAGUGGUGCUUCUUGGUAUUAAGUUAUCGAGGAGAUAGCCGCUCAUCGUUUACUGUGAGAAAAUUAGAGUGUUCAAAGCAGGCUUAUGCCGUUGAAUAUAUUAGCAUGGAAUAAUAAGAUAGGACCUCGGUACUAUUGUGUUGUUUUGAGAACCAAGGUAAUGAUGAAUAGGGACAGUUGGGGGUAUUCGUAUUCAGUUGUCAGAGGUGAAAUUCUUAGAUUUACGGAAGACGAACUACUGCGAAAGCAUUUACCAAGGAUGUUUUCA